UACGGAGGGGGCUAGCGUUGCUCGGAAUUACUGGGCGUAAAGGGCGCGUAGGCGGCUCAUGAAGGCUGUGGUGAAAGUCCGGGGCUCAACCUCGGAUCGGCCGUGGCGACUCGUGGGCUGGAGCACUGUAGAGGCGGGUGGAAUUCCGGGUGUAGCGGUGGAAUGCGUAGAGAUCCGGAAGAACACCAGUGGCGAAGGCGGCCCGCUGGGCAGUGGCUGACGCUGAGGCGCGACAGCGUGGGGAGCAAACAGG
RNAcentral lists this ribosomal RNA (253 nucleotides) under uncultured bacterium. RNAcentral describes it as "partial 16S ribosomal RNA". It matches the Rfam family "Bacterial small subunit ribosomal RNA", at positions 524 to 776 of the family's 1533-position model. The record is from RNAcentral.